AUUUUGACAGAUCCCUUCGGGGUGAAGAUAAAAUGGAUUAGCGGCGGACGGGUGAGUAACACGUGAGUAACCUGCCUUAGACAUUGGGAUAGCCUCGGGAAACCGGGAUUAAUACCGAAUAAAAUCACAGAUACACAUGUAUCCAUGAUCAAAACUCCGGUGGUCUAAGAUGGACUCGCGUCCCAUUAGCUAGUUGGUGAGGUAACGGCCCACCAAGGCGACGAUGGGUAGCCGGCCUGAGAGGGUGAACGGCCACAUUGGAACUGAGAAACGGUCCAAACUCCUACGGGAGGCAGCAGUGGGGAAUAUUGCACAAUGGAGGGAACUCUGAUGCAGCGACGCCGCGUGAACGAAGAAGGCUUUCGAGUCGUAAAGUUCUUUUAUAUGGGAAGAUAAUGACGGUACCAUAAGAAAAAGCCCCGGCUAACUACGUGCCAGCAGCCGCGGUAAUACGUAGGGGGCUAGCGUUGUCCGGAAUCACUGGGCGUAAAGGGUUCGCAGGCGGAAAUGCAAGUCAGAUGUAAAAGGCAGUAGCUUAACUACUGUAAGCAUUUGAAACUGCAUAUCUUGAGAAGAGUAGAGGUAAGUGGAAUUUUUAGUGUAGCGGUGAAAUGCGUAGAUAUUAAAAAGAAUACCGGUGGCGAAGGCGACUUACUGGGCUCAUUCUGGCGCUGAGGAACGAAAGCGUGGGUAGCAAACAGGAUUAGAUACCCUGGUAGUCCACGCUGUAAA
Molecule: ribosomal RNA, 732 nt
Filed under: uncultured bacterium
Lineage: Bacteria
Description: bacterial SSU rRNA
Rfam family: Bacterial small subunit ribosomal RNA
Source: RNAcentral